CCCUUAGAUGUCCGGGGCUGCACGCGCGCUACACUGAAGGAAUCAGCGUGCUAAAACCAUUGUCGAAAGGCAUUGGUAAACCCAUUAAAAUCCUACGUGAUUGGGAUCGGGAAUUGCAAUUAUUUCCCUUGAACGAGGAAUUCCCAGUAAGUGAGGGUCAUAAGCUCGCGUUGAUUACGUCCCUGCCCUUUGUACACACCGCCCGUCGCUGCCCGGGACUGAGCCGUUUCGAGAAAAGCGGGGACUGCUGCUGUCGGGGCUUUCGGGCCUUGGCUUCGGUGGAAACCGCUUUAAUCGCAGUGGCUUGAACCGGGCAAAAGUCGUAACA
Molecule: ribosomal RNA, 328 nt
Filed under: uncultured eukaryote
Lineage: Eukaryota
Description: partial 18S ribosomal RNA
Rfam family: Eukaryotic small subunit ribosomal RNA
Source: RNAcentral